GAUGUACGGAAAAUUCAUUGAAAUCCAUAAAUUGUGUUCUGCUGAUUUACCGUUAGAGACCAAUAUGAAGAUGCUAAACUUUAUGAAAAGAUUUGGUAAAACUCCAUUUGGAAUAAGCAUCGGCGGAUUCUUUUAUGUUAAGAAAAACUUCUUCAUUCGAUUUCUGAGUGCCAUAUAUUCGUCGCUGUCUGUAUUGACGGAACUUUUAAUUGCAAAGAAACCAACUUCUUGUAAAGUUGAGAUUACAGAUCUCAUUCAAUAAAGCUAUUAAAUUAAAUUGCGUCCCAGGCUGACUUGAAAGUUUGAAUGACCAGACUUAUUACAACGAAAUGAGAUAUUUUUGUGUUCGAGAAAAGAAGUCGAUUGUAGACUUAUCAGAAAGAUUUGAAAUCUCAAACAAGUCAAAGAAAAUACUCCUUACGAAACUUGAAGAUUUGACUUUCGACUCUUUCGUAGAAAGUUAUGACAUCCGUUCGACAAUAAAUUUAUGC
Molecule: long non-coding RNA, 491 nt
Filed under: Centruroides sculpturatus (bark scorpion)
Lineage: Eukaryota; Metazoa; Arthropoda; Arachnida; Scorpiones; Buthidae
Description: uncharacterized LOC111635882
Source: RNAcentral